Molecule: transfer RNA, 76 nt
Filed under: Patescibacteria group bacterium
Lineage: Bacteria
Description: tRNA-Ile
Rfam family: tRNA
About the family: Transfer RNA (tRNA) molecules are approximately 80 nucleotides in length. Their secondary structure includes four short double-helical elements and three loops (D, anti-codon, and T loops).
Source: RNAcentral
GCACGCUUAGCUCAGCUGGUAGAGCACUCGACUGAUACUCGAGCGGUCCUAGGUUCGAAUCCUAGAGCGUGCACCA